AUGACACGUGGCGCCCAAUCAUGGCGCCACGUCACAAUUAACGGCAGAUUUAACAGUUUGACUAACGGAUGUAUGAGACUGUCUCAAAAUUUACACUUUAGGUAUGAAUCUGAAACGAAAAAAACUUGAUGUACUAAAUGUUGAAAUCCACAAAACAUGAGGGUAGUAAACAGUCUUUUACCUAUUUUAUAUUAUUCUAAUUACCCACCUGGCAUAAUUCAUAAUUGGAUCUCACUCUCUACUCUUUAUCAACUUGCGUUUGAUUGCCUAUAAUCUUUGUAUUAUCCAAAGGGAAUUAUUAUUAGCACUCUAUAAAUUUCAUUAUACACUCUUCACAAAUGCAUUUUUUUUCGUUUCUAAUUAUAGAAAAUUUAGAGUGCAAAAUGAGAUUUUUAGAGUGCUUAUAACAAUUCUCUAUUCGAAACUCCGAAACUAGUUAAGUAAAUGAUUCGUUGUGACCUUUCCAAUAUCAUCCACCAUUUUAAAAGAAGGGAUUUCCAAUUUUUUUUAAAUGCGUAUUAAUUGUAGGGCACAAACGGUAUCGAACUUCAAUGAUUCGAACUAUCUAUUUUUCAAGUUUCACUUCAUAGAUCAUUCUUGCAAAAUAUUAGCCAAGUCAAAAAUAUUUGAGAUAUUUAAUUGAGUUAAAAAAAAUCAACAAACACAAUGGUUUAAUAAAUAUUGAAAUUUCAUCAUAACAAUUGAAUGGGUAAAUAACUUUGGAUUGAAUUGAAUUUUUGCAAGAAUAAUCUAGAAAUCGUGAUUUACAAUAUAGACGAUUCAAAUUGUUGAAAUUCGAUCUGAAAUAUAUUCCAUAACUUAUUUUUUUUUCGUCCAAAAAUAGAUAUAUCCCUUCUCAUGGCAUGUUCACUUGAAUACGUAACUACAAUUUUUUCCCCUGGACCAGGUUGAUGCUUCGUAGAAAAUCAGACCUAGUUUGGGAGUGAGGUACUUAAAAAAAAAACACCCAUGAAAAAAAGCUGUGAGAGUUUUAGGUGUUUGGUAAACUGAAAAAAAAGGGCUUAUUUUGGAAGCUGCUAUGAGAAUAAGCUGAAAUCAAAGGAAAAAGCUGAAGCUGCUAUUUGCAGCUUUGGAAAACUGGUUUUUUUUCAAAGCACAUGGAGCUACAGUGCUUUUUUAAUGAAAAGACCCACUAUUAGACUGCUUUUUUUUUCCAAAAGCACUUUUACAAAAAAGUUUACCAAACACUCUGCUGAUUUAUUUCACAGCCGCUUAUUCUCACAGCACAGCCGCUUAUUCUCACAGCAGCUUUUUUUCAAAGCACAGCAAUACCAAACCAGCCCUCAG
This 1308-nucleotide long non-coding RNA is filed under the name Malus domestica (apple). RNAcentral's name for it is "long non-coding RNA (MDOM_LNC002779)". Lineage: Eukaryota; Viridiplantae; Streptophyta; Magnoliopsida; Rosales; Rosaceae. The record is from RNAcentral.